CAGUAGCCGCUGUAAUACAGAGGGUGCGAGCGUUAAUCGGAUUUACUGGGCGUAAAGCGUGCGUAGGCGGCUUCUUAAGUCGGAUGUGAAAUCCCUGAGCUUAACUUAGGAAUUGCAUUCGAUACUGGGAAGCUAGAGUAUGGGAGAGGAUGGUAGAAUUCCAGGUGUAGCGGUGAAAUGCGUAGAGAUCUGGAGGAAUACCGAUGGCGAAGGCAGCCAUCUGGCCUAAUACUGACGCUGAGGUACGAAAGCAUGGGGAGCAAACAGGAUUAGAUACCCCUGUAGUCCCUGUCUCUUAUAC
This 301-nucleotide ribosomal RNA is filed under the name uncultured bacterium. RNAcentral's name for it is "partial 16S ribosomal RNA". It matches the Rfam family "Bacterial small subunit ribosomal RNA", at positions 509 to 807 of the family's 1533-position model. The record is from RNAcentral.